GUGCGCGGUCGCGGCCCGACACGAGUUCGCAGGAGAGCGGCGAGCCGGCCUCCGACACGCUGGAAGAGUCGACGCACGAGACGGAGACGUUUGACUCGGCCUCGUCGAGUAGCGCGUGUCUGACGUUCGAGUCGGCCGCCGAUCACACGUGAUGGCCGCGCGGCGCCGGGCGGUGACGUCACGGGCGGCCCGGCCCGACGGCCAGCCCGCUCGCCCGUCUCUAGAGGUGCCAACACACAGCCGCCCACCACCCGUGUGUACAUAGGAUAAUUAUAUUCUAUUCAAGAUGCCGUAUUGUGUAACAACAUAAGUAUACCAAAUUUGUUAUUGUUAUUUUUGAAGAAUUCCACUGGGGUGUGCGUCGCUCCUGUCAGCAGUUGCUUGAGCUUACGUUUGAGAGGGGCGGACACGCGCUCGCGCGCGCGCGCGCGGCGAGCCUUGUGAGCGCUGUCAGGCCUUGUAGAGGCGGGGGACCGGCGGCAGCCGCCUGGUGCGAUCCCUGCGGAGUUGAGUUUGGCUCGGUGCGGCGCCCCGGCCCGGGCCCGGCGGCGUGCGCGGCCGCCGGAAGCUUUAUGGGCCGCGGAGGCGCGCGGCGCACUUAAUGGCUUGACUGUGUCUCUCCUGUUGACCAAGAUUAGGACGGGCUGGCUCCGUAAUCUUUGUGGCCCGGGAGCGGGCGAGGCGAGACGUGUAUGUAACCGUGCACAAAGAGCGUAUUGCGAUUUAGUACUGUACCUAUUUGUUCUUUGUCAGACCAUUUAUACUUGCAGCGUCGCCAACCAGUUCAGAUAAACGAAUGAUUCGA
Long non-coding RNA from Pollicipes pollicipes, 805 nucleotides. RefSeq lists it as uncharacterized. The transcript has 2 exons. The record is from RefSeq and is a predicted model, not a curated record. NCBI's taxonomy places the organism in Eukaryota, Metazoa, Arthropoda, Thecostraca, Pollicipedomorpha, Pollicipedidae.